UGGCUUUUUCAGGAGCUGGUGAUUCUGAAGACGGCCCAGGCAUCAUGGCUCAUGCUACUGUUUAUGUGGGUUUUACUGUUCCUCGAUUAUUGAGAGGUGCGAGCAGAAUUUUUCCCACUUGUCCUGCAUUAGUGGUGUUGAGGCACUCUGCUUUUUGUUACUGCACAGUGAAUGGGUAAUUUCACAAGCAAAAGUGUGUGGAAUCACCAAUGAAUCCAAGACAGUCAAAAGACUUCGUUUGGCUAUUGCCAAUAAAGAAUUUACUUUCAAAGCAGGACAGUGGGUUGAUUUCUUUAUUCCUGGAGUAUCUGUAGUUGGGGGAUUCUCAAUAUGUUCAAGCCCUGGCCUGUUGGAACGAGAAGGAAUAUUAGAGCUGGCAGUAAAGCACACUGUUCAUCCUCCUGCUCACUGGAUUCACACUGAGUGCACUCUUGACUCAGAAGUGGCUCUGCGAGUGGGAGGUGAUUUCUUCUUUGAUCCUCAGCCUGAUGACUCCCCUGUAAAACUAGUGCUGAUAGCAGGGGGUGUUGGAAUUAACCCACUGUUUUCUAUACUGCUGCAUAUAGCAGAUCUUCAGGGAUACCAAGAGGGUAAAGGAAACAGAUACAAAAUGGGAACAGCGAAGCUGUACUACAGUGCGAAAAAUACAAGUGAACUCUUAUUUAAGAAAAAUAUUCUUGGUUUGAUGAACGCGUUUCCUGGACAGAUCACAUGUCGUUUCCACGUUACCCAACAGAGGUUACAGAUCUGUAAAGAACUUCAGCCACAUGUUACAGAGGGAAGAAUAUCUGAAAAGGAUCUAGAAAAACAUGUAUCUAAGGAUACUUUAUGGUACAUCUGUGGUCCACCUCCAAUGAUAGAAUCUAUAUCCAAACUACUGGCUAAGAUGGGUGUUCCUAGAAACUCUGUUUUCUUUGAGAAAUGGUGGUAGUGACACCUGCUUUUUUGCUGAACAGAAAAUCUAUUAGUUGUUUCCAGUGUAUUUUAAUAAGCUGAAAUGUACAGAAAAUGGACUAUGAAUUAUUUGGAAGAUUUUACUUCAUACAUGAAGAUGUCCUCGAUCAUAAUGGUGGUCCUUUAAUUUAAUACACCUGCUGUAAUACAGUGCUGCUGGUUUGGGGGGAAAAAUGAUUUUAUAUUAAAGACAUUAACUGUU
Molecule: RNA transcript, 1156 nt
Organism: Antrostomus carolinensis (chuck-will's-widow)
Lineage: Eukaryota; Metazoa; Chordata; Aves; Caprimulgiformes; Caprimulgidae
Gene: OXNAD1
Gene name: oxidoreductase NAD binding domain containing 1
Exons: 6
Source: RefSeq, a predicted model, not a curated record